Molecule: long non-coding RNA, 1133 nt
Filed under: Homo sapiens (human)
Lineage: Eukaryota; Metazoa; Chordata; Mammalia; Primates; Hominidae
Description: MAL2 antisense RNA 1 (MAL2-AS1)
Source: RNAcentral
AGAGGUGGAAAUUCAUAGUCCAUGCUCAAGAUCGAAUGGCAUCUCUCAGACUGGAAGACCUUUCUGAAGUCAGUUCCAGACAUCCCUGGAAGGCUGGAUAAUUUGGGAAAAGGCUGACUCAAUGUAAGAAAGACUUCCCUGGCCAGGUGCCAUCCCUCGGUGCUUCCACGGUUACUGACGCGUGUAUUCUCCACAGCAAUUACAACUGGAUCAAAAUCAUGGAUCUACAUGCCCAUUUCACCCACUAGACUGUGACGUCAGAGUCGGUGACAUUGCCUUCAACAUCUCCGUAUGCUCAUUACCCAGGGUGGUGCUUUCUACAGAAGGUCCUCAAUCCAUCCUCCUUGAAAUGAAUGGAAACCAACCGGCAUGUGUAAUGAAUGGUUCCAAAAGAGAAUGCUCUAGGAGUGCAGCUUGGGAUGCUAGGAACACACUCCGGUCUGGAGCCCAGCUCACUCCCUGGUUCAUGGUGGAUGUCCAAAAAUAGGCAUGAAAACGAGUGAAGCGAGAAUAUGUACUUCUCAAUUCUCAAGUUAUUAUUGGUGACACCCACCACCUAGUACCAGAUCUCAGGAGGCUGAGAUGGAAAGUUAUGGGAAACUUUGUACCUCUUGCCAGUUGAAUUCAUGACACCCAAUUUUAAAUCUUUUUUCGGCCCCAAAUUUGCCCACAUGACCUAUUUCUAUUGUAACUGCCACUGGAACUUUUGACCAGGGUAAAUCUUGUGCCUUCUUCCAGUGCCUCCUGCUCCCCUCAUCAGUCCCCAUCUGUCCUCUAACCAUGCUGACUUCUGUCCAAACUGCUUCUGGACUGGCCCUGGCAUAGACCUGCAUUAGAGAUGCAAGGCAGCAAGGUGUUUAUUUAUUUAGUUAGUUAGGAAAACAGAACAAAUUCUGGGAUGUAAUGAGAAAUGACAUACACAUAAGAGGCUUAUGACCAAAAUACGUUAAUACUCAUUGCAAAAGAAGUUCUACUUUUUAGCUUUACAUUUGAAGGCUUUAAAAAUAUGUCUGAGAGUGCUAUAGAGAGUUAUACUUUCUUCCUCCCCAUGUGACCUAAACCUCCAAUUCAGCUGCUUAAAUAGCUGACACCGACCCUAAAAUGGAAAGCUCAUAUUACAGAGGAGAAAUAUG